Pezoporus flaviventris is the source of this 1637-nucleotide long non-coding RNA. RefSeq lists it as uncharacterized. The transcript has 3 exons. The record is from RefSeq and is a predicted model, not a curated record. Lineage: Eukaryota; Metazoa; Chordata; Aves; Psittaciformes; Psittacidae.
GCCACCUCCACUGUAGAGGACAAGGGACGUGUGCCUCUCAGCAGCUCCAGGGCAGAAGUCCUAAGGCUCAGGAAAACCUGCCCUUGCAGCUCCAUUGGGCUAAGCUGUCUGACUGCGUAUUUAAAACAGAUGUGGGAUGUUUGUGAGCUCUGUCUUACCAGUUCAAGUGUCAGGUGAUUGCUAUAAAAGGACUGUGAAACCUCACACGGAGGCUCAGUAGUGCUCCUUACUAUUGUAAGCACUGAUAGAGUAGCACCCUGUGAACUGCAGUGUUUUCUAGUGCAGCACUUUGCAGAGAAACAAGAUGAAAAGGGAGAAGCAAAGAAGAAAUGGUGAACAGAGGCUAAGAAAGUAAGUUGCCUAAGGUGGGAAAUGUGUUCAGCAACCUAUGGGUCUCUUGUGUGCUGAUCCACCUGAACACAGGAAUUUUGACCUUCUUAAAGCAUGUACAGGUAACAAAAGCUCUUCAGAACCUAGUAACUGAAAGAAUAAAGCUGAGUUGCAGGGUGAGCAGGGAGUGCAGCUGCCCUGACAGUAUGUGGAGGCUCUCCCUUAAACUCUCUUCUCCCUGUCUACCUGGAAAGCUGUUUGAGGAGCCCUGUGCUCAGUGUUGUGGCAGGGAGCUGGGUAAAGGUCUUGCCCUUCUCACCAGGCAUCUGUGACCUGGCAGCCAACCGUGGGAGUUUACACCUCAAGGUUGAUGUUACUUGAUCUUGCUGAUAAUUUCAGGAAAUGUGGUAACAACUACAAAAUGAUACAAUAGCCUUUAGUGAAUUCUAACCUGUACUAAACGAUUCUGUAAAACAUGAUUCUGGUAUCAUCACUUUGUGACAUGAUUUUUUGGAACAAAUUAAAAAUAUUUUAUUAACAUGUUGGUGUUCCAUGACAAAUUUACAAGUUCAAUCUAGAAUCAGGUAACUUUUUCAUAAUAUGGUUUGCACACUAUUUAAGUGUAUAAUUUGGUAAUUUCAAACUAUUCUUUGGCUAAACAAGAGGGGAUCUAAUCUUUCUAAUUUGAAAGAGUUUUAUAUUUAUUUAGUUAACUUCUUUUUAUACCCUUUAUGAAUAACUGCUCUGUACCUAGCUAAUAUUUGCUUGUUCUGCAAAAUGCAGGACUUGGGUUGAUUGAAGCAUUACCUUUCACAUGUGGAUGAAGAUCUCAUAUAGCUCAAACGUGCUGUGGUGUCUUCUUCAGCUAAGGAGCACACUUCUGCAUCCCUAGUCUACUGCCAAUGGGUUGACAAGCAGAUGUAGGUCCUUGUAUAAAUGUUAUGUUUUAUAAGCUAUUAGAAUACUGUGAACAAACCUGUCAUGGUGAAUGAUGAUUCUUUUUUUCCUGUUAAUUAGCUCCUCUUGUACCAGAAGCUGUUUUACUGAAAUAUAUGGGAAUGUGCUAAGUUUGCACCCUUGAUUUAUUGCUUUAGUCUCAUAAUCUAUUUUUUUAAAAAUGCACUAUUCAAAUUUGCCUUCUAGUGCUAGAUGAGAGAUCAUUAACCUGCUCUCCUCAGAGCAAGGAUACCAGUGAUGAAAGCUAUACCUCUAGAUAGCAUGAAGGAAAACCUCUCAGAACGCGAAUAUAGCAUUACUACAUUACUACAGCAUGACUGCAGGAUUCAAUACAGAAAACAGUAAGAUGA